GAGUUUGAUCGUGGCUCAGGACGAACGCUGGCGGCGUGCUUAACACAUGCAAGUCGAACGGAAAGGCCCUGCUUUUGUGGGGUGCUCGAGUGGCGAACGGGUGAGUAACACGUGAGUAACCUGCCCUUGACUUUGGAUAACUUCAGGAAACUGGGGCUAAUACCGGAUAGGAGCUCCUGCUGCAUGGUGGGGGUUGGAAAGUUUCGGCGGUUGGGGAUGGACUCGCGGCUUAUCAGCUUGUUGGUGGGGUAGUGGCUUACCAAGGCUUUGACGGGUAGCCGGCCUGAGAGGGUGACCGGCCACAUUGGGACUGAGAUACGGCCCAGACUCCUACGGGAGGCGAGCAGUGGGGAAGUAUUGCACAAUGGGCGGAAGCCUGAUGCAGCAACGCCGCGUGCGGGAUGACGGCCUGGUU
This 415-nucleotide ribosomal RNA is filed under the name uncultured microorganism. RNAcentral describes it as "bacterial SSU rRNA". It matches the Rfam family "Bacterial small subunit ribosomal RNA", at positions 9 to 424 of the family's 1533-position model. The record is from RNAcentral.